AACUGGAAAUGGAAGAAAAAUCAGAUAAUAUCUUUUCUGCCGUCCCCUGAUACCUUCAGGAGUUCAAACGUUUUCCAAGCCCGCGGCACUUGGCAAUUAUAAUUACACAGUAAAAUACCUAAGGUUAAUGAAUAACCUCUAAAGGAAGUUACUUCACAUAAUGACAGCAAUUUCUCUGAACUAAAUGUUAAUUAAUAAGGCCUGUAAUACUAUGAGAAGGAAAUGGUGGCAAUUGGCAAAUGGAACUCUGUUGCUUGGUAACAAAACCUGAGAAAUAAUCAAAACCCUCUGCACUCACUCAGAAGUGUCCAUAAGUCCUGUUCAAGUAAUCUUAAAAGAGACUGUUCCAAUAUUCGAUCUGCCUCGUUCAACAAGGCAAAAAGGUGAGGAAGCAGAGAAUUAUUUUUGAAUGGCUACUGCUUAAAGAGUUGCCUGCGUGAGGUUUGGUGGCAAGAAGCAGAAGUCAGAGCCUGUGGUUCCUGUUGCUCUUCGGCGGUAUGAAAGAGAGAAGAAGGCGUGCUUCAUUAUAUGAAGCUUUGCUCCUAAGGUGGAGUCUUGCUGCAUCACCAAGGCUGGAGUGCACUGGCACAAUCUCGGCUCACUGCAACCUCCUCCUCCCAGGUUCAAACAAUUCUGUCUCAGCCUCCCAAGUAGCUGGGACUACAGGUGCCUGCCACCACGCCUGGCUGAUUUUUGUAUUUUUAGUAGAGACAGGGUUUCACCUUGUUGGUCAGGCUGGUCUCAAACUCCUAACCUCAAGUGAUCCACCCGCGUCGGCCUCCCAAAGUGCUGAGAUUACAGGCGUGAGCCACCGUGCCCCACCAAUGCUACUGAUUUUUGUAUCCUGCAACUUUACCAAAUUCAUUUUUUUGGUUCUAAAUGUUUUUUGUGGAUCUUUGAGGCCUUCUACAUAAAGGAUAAUAUCUCAAAUAGGGAUAAUUUUGCUUCAUCUUUCUGAAUUUAGAUGCCUUUUUUUCUUCUCUGAUUGCCCUUGUUAGUACUUCUAAUACUACAUUGAAUAGAAGUGGUGAGAGGGGGCAUCCCUGUAUUGUACUGAUCUUAUUAGAAAAGCUUUCAUUUGUACCUGUUGAUUAUGAUCUUAGCUGUGAGCUUUUCAUAAAUGGUCCCUAUUAUUUUGAGGACCUUUCCUUCUAUAUCUAAACUGUUAAGAGUUUGUAUCAAGAAAGGAUACUGAAUUUUGUCAAAUAGUUUUUCUGCAUCAAUUGAGAGGUUCAUGUGGUUUUUCUCUUUUAGUCUUUUAAUAGAUGUGUUACAUUGAUUGACUUGCAUGCCAUGCAUAAAUCCCACUUGUACACCACAGGGAAAUCCCACUUGGUUCCGAUGUAUAACCUUCCUGAUGUGUUGUUGAAUCUGGUUUGCUAAUAUUUUAUUGAAGAUUUUAGUAUCAAAGUUCAAGACUUAUUGGCCUGUAGGUUUUUUUUACUUGAAGUAUCUUUGUCUGGCUUAGGUAUCAAGGUGACACUGGCCUCAUGAAAUAUAUUUGGAAGUAUUCCCUCUAGCUCUAUUUUUUUUUUUGGAAGAGUUUAAGAAGUAUUGGUAAUAAUUCUUUUUUAAAUGUUUUGUGAACUUCUUCUCUGAAGUCAUCUGGUUCAGUGCUUUUCAUUGCUGGAAGGUGUUUAAUUACUUUAAUAUCUUUGUUAUUGGUUUGUUCGAGCUUUCUAUUUCUUUUUGAGUCAAUUUUAGUAGGUUAUAUUUUUCUAGGAAUGUAUUCAUCUCUUCUAGGUUAUCCACAUUGUUGACAUAUAAUUUUUCAUAAUAAUCCUUUAUGAUCUUUUUUAUUUCUGAGGCAUCUGUUGUAAUGUCUCCAUUUUUAUUUCUAAUUUUAUUUAUUUGAGUCUUCUCUCUUUUUUUCUUAGUCUAAUUAAGGGUUUGUCAAUUUUGUUUUUUUCCUCAAAGAAUCAACUCUUGGUUUUAUUGAUUUUUUUUCUAUGGUUUUUCUGUUCUUUAUUUGAUUUAUUUCUGAUCUUUAUUAUUUUCUUCUGCUAACUUUGGGUUUGUUUUUAGCUUCUUCAAAUAUAAUGUCAGGCUAUUUAUUUGGGAUCUUUCUUCUUUUCUAAUAUAGGCGUUUUGAGUUUAGUUUGUUCUUUUUCUAGCUUCUCAAGGUAUAAUGUUAGGCUAUUUAUUUGGUAUCUUUCUUCUUUUUAAUUUUUAAUUAAUUUAUUAUUUUAUAAAGACAGUGUCUCAUGUGUAAUCCACGUCAGUGAUGACCAUGAGUGCCUCAGAGGCCUAGGCUGCAGGAGUUUCUGGCAGCAGUGAUGGCAAGGUAGAUUUUGUGAAUUCCUAGUGGUAAGGGAUCCUCCUGUUCUUAUUUUCCCCAAUAGUGGAGAGACUUGGAUGAGGGGAUCCCUCUUGGCCUUGGGUCUGACAUGAGCCACAGGCAGCCACAGCAGUGCUGUGUUCCAGGGCACAAGUGCUCAGAGUGGCUAUGGAGCUGAAGUCCUGAGCUGAUCCCAACCAGGGAGACGGUAUGACAGAGGCAAGGUGUUCUGCUCCCUUCUCGAUGUGGCCAUCUUGAGUUUCUGCACCCUGCAGGGUUUCUGCCACACCCUUGCUAUGCUCCAGCACUCUCUUUUAGUCAUUCGGGUUGAAAUGUAGUUGUUUGUUCAUUGUUUUAAUCCAUCUUUUGAAGGAGAGUGAUAGUCGACCAUCUCACUGACAUCAAUUUGACCUCUGUUUUUAAACUUUUCUCCAAGAUUUAGCUACAAGCUAAAUUUAAUUGCAUAAACUGGUCACAGCCUACAUAAUGGACAAGGCUUAUAUUUACCUUCAUAGCACCAUAUUUUCCAGUCUUCUGGGACUGGCCUCCCUCACUUCCUAUAAGGAAAAAUAAAACUGGGCUUCCCUGCAUUUUGAUGGGUCUAUGUAUUCUACUGGUCUGGCUCUCCCCUUGACCACAGGGAGGCCCAUGACUAAGGCCCAGGUAAUUGGAGUAACUCCCAAUGGCUCUAUCAGUUGGUCCGGGAGUGAGCACCUGCCUAAAGGUAAGCCUUUCUGAGCCUUUCUUUUCUGGAGAUUUCCCAAAUGAAGCUGGAAAAAGGAGGUUUCUUUCCUUUGGCAUUGCUAAGCCUUCCCCCAGGAAUUGCCUUGUAACUUUGGAGCUGCCUACAGCCAUCUCCAUUCACAAAGUCAUUCGAAGUGAUGGAGAAUGAGUGAUCGCAACAACAGAAGAAAGAUUUAAGGCAGAGAAAUGGAAAGACAGUCGUGAUGCUUCCAGCUCUGCAUCCAAAUGACUCAGAAGCCCACCCCAUCUCUUCCUCUCCGAUUAUAACAGCCACCAAAUUCCCCUUUGAGGGUAAACUUAUUUGAGGUCAGAAUGCAUUCUGACCAAUACACCUAUAUAUCCAACAGGAUUGGCAAGCAAACUAUGGUACAGUCAUAGAGUCAAAAUUGUAUGGCCAUUAAAACGAUCUUACCAAAGUAUAGUUUUCAAUAAAAGUUACAUGAACAGAUAGUAUGCAAAGAUGAUCUGAUAUAUUAAGUGAGAAAAGCUAGUUACAAGGCAAUAUUCAUUGUAUUAUCUAAUUUUGUUAAAAAUAGUUUAAUAACUAGAGACAAUAAAAUUUUAAUGGCUUUUUUCUGGAUGGUGGAAUUACACAUAAUUUUUUAUAUUUUAUAAUUUUUACUUUUAUGAUAAGAAAAGCAAUGCUAAAAACCAAGCCUUUGGCCUAAUCUUUUUAUAGGCCUAUGUACAAAUUAAAACUUAAUCGCCCACUCAUUCAUUUGAAUUUUACCAUGCCCCUUUCUUUCUAAAUAAGUUUCCUUUAACAUGGUGACACAUCAUCCCUUUCCUUUUUCAAGCAUCGGCACUUUAAAAGAUGACAUUUAUAAGGAUAGUAAAUUAUCAACACCUUCCGUCAGCAUAGUUUAUGGCUUUUUAGCUAGUGUAGGAGUUCACAAAAGAAACAUUUUCAUCUAAAUGAAGUCACUCAUUUAGAAGUAACUUUCUAAUUAUUUUCUCCAUGGUAACACAUAUAACACAUAUAAAAUAUGAAAAAAAUAUGUUUAUUCAAGUUUUUUUCUCUUUCAUAACUAUUUCAAAAAGCCUUAAGUGUGUUUUAUACCUCCUUAAAAAUUUCACCCUGUAGAUGGGGUUCAUUUUAACACUAAAGUCUGGGGCUUUGCACCAAUAACCUGACUCUAUUACUGCAUUGCAUUCCUGAUGAAACGCACUAAGAGUUUAAAGUUUCUUUAUUAAAAUUUUUUCUCAAGAAAAUGACUCUGAGCUUUGGAAAGCACUUCUAAAAUAAUGUCAUAUGAAAAGUGAACCUUUUAUUAGACCUCAGACCACAGAAGAAUCCCAUGGAAUUUUUUCUAAUAUAAUUAACCCCUUCAUUCGAGAACAUAAGAGCUGGAGUAUGGUUUAAUAGGUAGAUUUAGAGGCUUCUGUGCUUCCAGUAAUCCUCCUUUCAUCAAAACAAUGGCUAUAAUUAAUAUUUAUGAUUUUGCCUUUCUCCUCAAAGGACUUUACAAAUUGUUACCACUUACUAAUGACACUUACUAAUGAAGUACUUACUGCUCAGUCCAAAAGAGAAAUUUACAGUCUUCUCAAGUUUGUUCCACAAUGAUGUGGCUACAAAGGAGGGUUGGUUGUGAGUUGAUGGAUUCAACUCCCCAUUACCAAAAGAAUGAGUCAGGAAUGGGAAACCAAUCAGUCAGUUCCAAACUGAUUCCCCAAAGUUUGUGUGGCAGGAUCACUGAGGAUCACUGUUUUGAUUUGUAUUGUUUUAUUCAGGAUCUCCCACUAUGAUGUCCUAUAGGGGUAGGUAAAUUACAGCUGAGGGCCUGUGGCCUCAACCUAAUUUUAUAGCUACCCUUCUCCCUCCACCUCUCCUAUCCCACCCACAGUGAGUUACUUUUACAUUUUCAAAUGAUUGUUUAGAGGACAGAAGAAGAAUAUGUGACAGAGACUGUAUGUGACCUGCAAAGCCCCAAGUAUUUAUUAUCUGGUUCUUUAGCGAAUAAGUUUACUCCUCCCUGAAAAUCUAAGGCACAAUAAGAAAAGUCGAACUGUAAAGCUGUUGCAAUUCCAGCUAUAAACAUUGUCUAACAUUCAUGAAAGUGUCAUUUAGAAACUUGGACUUAGUGUACAGAGAUAAAUAUACUUUGUGGAAGCACAUUUCAGGUGUCAGCUUUUUUUGGAGUCAGCACAUUACUCUGGACUGACAGGAUAUAGACCUAAAAAGACCAAGUUCAUGUACCAACAUGCAUAUAGGAAACACUAUACACACACAGGAUAUUCAUCUACAACUUGGAGCUAACAUCAAAUAGGCUUGUUGGACUUUAGCACCACUCAGCAAUAGUACUGAAAGAAAAGAAUAAAAAGGAAGAGAAACCCAGCUCUUGGUGCACAACAAUUUGGGAAGACCUACAGGCAAGACUGAGCCCAUUCAGGCCAAACAGAGUCAGCACAAUAGCAGCAUGACUGUCCCACUGUAUACCAUUUGCAUAGACUUCUACUUAGUUUUAGUUUUAUCAGCAAUUUGUCUGUUAUUUAUAAGCCAUACCUCUUCUUAGCAACAACAAAAAAGGUAACAUUAUUAGAUUCCCAAUAUAUUAGCAACAAAAGCUACUUUUUGUGUGAGACACUGUCCUAAACUUGCUACAUAUAUCAUGCCCUUUGAGCCUCCAGUAAGACAGACAUUGCUCUCCUCAUUUUACAAGGGCUCAUAGUGGCACGCCCCACAUAAUGGAAGCCAUCUGAAGUAAGGUUAGUGAGGCUCAUGGGAACAGCCUCUGGUUCAUGUCAGCCUUUCUGCCAAGUUCAUUACUGAACGCAGAUCCCGUGUGACAGACUUUUCCAUCAAAAAUCCAGAAUCCUAUUGGAAAAUGAAUCAGAUACAAUUCAAAAAUUGGUCUUUGUUGUCCCUAUCUUUGGAAGGGGUAGUUAAAAACUAACCACAAAAAUGUACCCCAAUGUGGUGACGACACUAUUUACAAUAUGAUGCAAAAGGCUACCUCCUCUAACCCCACAGUGGGUACCUGAGCAGAUGGCUAAUGGUGAGUGGAAGCCAGAAGAAACCAAAUUAAACGCAGGGACCAGACUUACAGAAUUCCAGAACCAAACGAUUGGAGCUGCUCACAUGCCUUGGAAAGGGACCUAACACCAUGAGAUUGUGGGUCUGAAUGAAUGCCACUGGCCCUCCCAGUUGCUGUUGUUUCUUCUACACAGAGAUACAACAACAUUCACGUACAUGUUUGCCACUCAUCUGGCUAGCACUUAGCAUUUUGAAAG
This is a non-coding RNA of Homo sapiens (human), 6253 nucleotides long. The record is from RefSeq and is a predicted model, not a curated record. NCBI's taxonomy places the organism in Eukaryota, Metazoa, Chordata, Mammalia, Primates, Hominidae.